Molecule: ribosomal RNA, 592 nt
Filed under: Linospora capreae
Lineage: Eukaryota; Fungi; Ascomycota; Sordariomycetes; Diaporthales; Gnomoniaceae
Description: LSU rRNA
Rfam family: Eukaryotic large subunit ribosomal RNA
Source: RNAcentral
AGGUAGGAAUACCCGCUGAACUUAAGCAUAUCAAUAAGCGGAGGAAAAGAAACCAACAGGGAUUGCCCUAGUAACGGCGAGUGAAGCGGCAACAGCUCAAAUUUGAAAUCUGGCUUCGGCCCGAGUUGUAAUUUGCAGAGGAUGUUUAUGGUGCGGUACCUACCGAGUUCCCUGGAACGGGACGCCACAGAGGGUGAGAGCCCCGUCUGGUAGGAUACCAAACCUGUGUUAAACUCCUUCAACGAGUCGAGUAGUUUGGGAAUGCUGCUCUAAAUGGGAGGUAAAUCUCUUCUAAAGCUAAAUAUUGGCCAGAGACCGAUAGCGCACAAGUAGAGUGAUCGAAAGAUGAAAAGCACCUUGAAAAGGGGGUUAAACAGUACGUGAAAUUGUUGAAAGGGAAGCGUUUAUGACCAGACUUGUGCCGUGUGGCUCAUCCGAGGUUCUCCCCGGUGCACUCCACACGGCUCAGGCCAACAUCGGUUCUCGUUGGGGGAUAAGAACAGUAGGAACGUGGCCCUCUUCGGGGGGUGUUAUAGCCUAUUGUACGAUACUCUGACGGGGACCGAGGACCGCGCUUCGGCUAGGAUGUUGG